RNAcentral lists this ribosomal RNA (1446 nucleotides) under uncultured organism. RNAcentral describes it as "SSU rRNA". It matches the Rfam family "Bacterial small subunit ribosomal RNA". The record is from RNAcentral.
UAGCUACAGGCUUAACACAUGCAAGUCGAGGGGCAGCAUGGUCUUAGCUUGCUAAGGCCGAUGGCGACCGGUGCACGGGUGAGUAACACGUAUCCAACCUGCCGUCUACUCUUGGACAGCCUUCUGAAAGGAAGAUUAAUACAAGAUGGCAUCAUGAGUCCGCAUGUUCACAUGAUUAAAGGUAUUCCGGUAGACGAUGGGGAUGCGUUCCAUUAGAUAGUAGGCGGGGUAACGGCCCACCUAGUCUUCGAUGGAUAGGGGUUCUGAGAGGAAGGUCCCCCACAUUGGAACUGAGACACGGUCCAAACUCCUACGGGAGGCAGCAGUGAGGAAUAUUGGUCAAUGGGCGAGAGCCUGAACCAGUCAAGUAGCGUGAAGGAUGACUGCCCUAUGGGUUGUAAACUUCUUUUAUAAAGGAAUAAAGUCGGGUAUGGAUACCCGUUUGCAUGUACUUUAUGAAUAAGGAUCGGCUAACUCCGUGCCAGCAGCCGCGGUAAUACGGAGGAUCCGAGCGUUAUCCGGAUUUAUUGGGUUUAAAGGGAGCGUAGAUGGAUGUUUAAGUCAGUUGUGAAAGUUUGCGGCUCAACCGUAAAAUUGCAGUUGAUACUGGAUAUCUUGAGUGCAGUUGAGGCAGGCGGAAUUCGUGGUGUAGCGGUGAAAUGCUUAGAUAUCACGAAGAACUCCGAUUGCGAAGGCAGCCUGCUAAGCUGCAACUGACAUUGAGGCUCGAAAGUGUGGGUAUCAAACAGGAUUAGAUACCCUGGUAGUCCACACGGUAAACGAUGAAUACUCGCUGUUUGCGAUAUACUGCAAGCGGCCAAGCGAAAGCGUUAAGUAUUCCACCUGGGGAGUACGCCGGCAACGGUGAAACUCAAAGGAAUUGACGGGGGCCCGCACAAGCGGAGGAACAUGUGGUUUAAUUCGAUGAUACGCGAGGAACCUUACCCGGGCUUAAAUUGCAGAUGAAUUACGGUGAAAGCCGUAAGCCGCAAGGCAUCUGUGAAGGUGCUGCAUGGUUGUCGUCAGCUCGUGCCGUGAGGUGUCGGCUUAAGUGCCAUAACGAGCGCAACCCUUGUUGUCAGUUACUAACAGGUUCCGCUGAGGACUCUGACAAGACUGCCAUCGUAAGAUGUGAGGAAGGUGGGGAUGACGUCAAAUCAGCACGGCCCUUACGUCCGGGGCUACACACGUGUUACAAUGGGGGGUACAGAGGGCCGCUACCACGCGAGUGGAUGCCAAUCCCCAAAACCUCUCUCAGUUCGGACUGGAGUCUGCAACCCGACUCCACGAAGCUGGAUUCGCUAGUAAUCGCGCAUCAGCCACGGCGCGGUGAAUACGUUCCCGGGCCUUGUACACACCGCCCGUCAAGCCAUGGGAGCCGGGGGUACCUGAAGUGCGUAACCGCGAGGAGCGCCCUAGGGUAAAACUGGUGACUGGGGCUAAGUA